AUUGAACGCUGGCGGCAUGCUUUAGACAUGCAAGUCGAACGGAAACAGGACGCUGUGAUCUCUUCGGAGUGAACUUGUCGCUGUCGGGUGGCGGACGGGUGAGUAAUGCUUAGGAAUCCGCCCAGUAGUGGGGGACAACAGUUGGAAACGACUGCUAAUACCGCAUACGCCCUACGGGGGAAAGCAGGGGAUCUUCGGACCUUGCGCUAUUGGAUGAGCCUAAGUCGGAUUAGCUUGUUGGUGGGGUAAUGGCCUACCAAGGCAACGAUCCGUAGCUGGUCUGAGAGGAUGAUCAGCCACACUGGGACUGAGACACGGCCCAG
Molecule: ribosomal RNA, 323 nt
Filed under: uncultured bacterium
Lineage: Bacteria
Description: bacterial SSU rRNA
Rfam family: Bacterial small subunit ribosomal RNA
Source: RNAcentral